AGUCUGCAACUCGACUACAUGAAGCUGGAAUCGCUAGUAAUCGCGAAUCAGAAUGUCGCGGUGAAUACGUUCCCGGGUCUUGUACACACCGCCCGUCACACCAUGGGAGUCAGUAACGCCCGAAGUCAGUGACCCAACCGGACAGGAGGGAGCUGCCGAAGGCGGGACCGAUAACUGGGGUGAAGUCGUAACAAGGUAAC
This 200-nucleotide ribosomal RNA is filed under the name uncultured bacterium. RNAcentral describes it as "partial 16S ribosomal RNA". It matches the Rfam family "Bacterial small subunit ribosomal RNA", at positions 1302 to 1500 of the family's 1533-position model. The record is from RNAcentral.